RNAcentral lists this long non-coding RNA (1086 nucleotides) under Oncorhynchus kisutch (coho salmon). RNAcentral describes it as "lncRNA (ENSOKIG00005020316.1)". Lineage: Eukaryota; Metazoa; Chordata; Actinopteri; Salmoniformes; Salmonidae. The record is from RNAcentral.
ACCAGAGCCCUAUAUAGUGGUACUACUAUAGACCAGAGCCCUAUUCCCUAUAUAGUGUACUACUAUAGACCAGAACCCUAUUCCCUAUAUAGUGGUACUACUAUAGACCAGAGCCCUAUUCCCUAUAUAGUGGUACUACUAUAGACCAGAGCACUAUUCCCUAUAUAGUGGUACUACUAUAGACCAGAGUCCUAUUCCCUAUAUAGUGGUACUACUAUAGACCAGAGCCCUAUUCCCUAUAUAGUGGUACUACUAUAGACCAGAGCCCUAUUCCCUAUAUAGUGGUACUACUAUAGACCAGAGCCCUAUUCCCUAUAUAGUGGUACUACUAUAGACCAGAGCCCUAUUCCCUAUAUAGUGGUACUACUAUAGACCAGAGCCCUAUAUAGUGGUACUACUAUAGACCAGAGCCCUAUAUAGUGGUACUACUAUAGACCAGGGCCCUAUUCCCUAUAUAGUGGUACUACUAUAGACCAGAGCCCUAUUCCCUAUAUAGUGGUACUACUAUAGACCAGAGCCCUAUUCCCUAUAUAGUGGUACUACUAUAGACCAGAGCCCUAUUACCUAUAUAGUGGUACUACUAUAGACCAGAGCCCUAUUCCCUAUAUAGUGGUACUACUAUAGACCAGAGCCCAAUUCCCUAUAUAGUGGUACUACUAUAGACCAGAGCCCUAUUCCCUAUAUAGUGGUACUACUAUAGACCAGAGCCCUAUUCCCUAUAUAGUGGUACUACUAUAGACCAGUGCCCUAUUCCCUAUAUAGUGGUACUACUAUAGACCAGAGUCCUAUUCCCUAUAUAGUGGUACUACUAUAGACCAGAGCCCUAUUCCCUAUAUAUAGUGGUACUACUAUAGACCAGAGCCCUAUUCCCUAUAUAGUGGUACUACUAUAGACCAGAGCCCUAUUCCCUAUAUAGUGGUACUACUAUAGACCAGAGCCCUAUUCCCUAUAUAGUGGUACUACUAUAGACCAGAGCCCUAUUCCCUAUAUAGUGGUACUACUACAGACCAGAGCCCUAUUCCCUAUAUAGUGGUACUACUAUAGACCAGAGCCCUAUUCCCUAUAUAGUGGUACUACUAUAGACCA